RNAcentral lists this long non-coding RNA (522 nucleotides) under Phoenix dactylifera (date palm). RNAcentral's name for it is "long non-coding RNA (PDAC_LNC020327)". Lineage: Eukaryota; Viridiplantae; Streptophyta; Magnoliopsida; Arecales; Arecaceae. The record is from RNAcentral.
GCCACUAACUCUUAGCGGGUUUUCAUUUAUCAAUCUAAUUGAUUAUUUGUGAUUCCUAAUCACAUUCAACCAUUGGAUCGGUCAAUACCUCUAAUGUGUGUGACCCCAUAGGUUCCAUUCUGACUGGUAGUGAGAUAUAUUAUGAUCUCUAUCACAAUAUCAUUGAAAACUCUUUUCAAUGGGUUGAAACAAUUACAACUCAACUCACCAGGGAUUAUCGACCAUCGAGAUGAUCCCUGUGAGUCUCACCAUCCACCAGUGACACCUAGUAGUAUGUAGUGGCCACCCAGCAGAAUAGAAUGAUGAACCUCUAGGUGCAGCAAUCGUAUGAUACAGUCCUUCUAUCGUGGAUCCCUACAGAUCGGAGGUCAUGGAAAACUCGUCAAACCCCGUCGUCUGUCAUAUGUCUAGAUUUAUUUGACUUGAGUUCGAUAGUGAAAAACUCUUUCUCCACUUUAUAUUUCUGCCCUGGCCAAGGUCUUUGAACUCAGUCUAACAAAUCACAUAGGAUCACUCCUCUUC